Ribosomal RNA from Neurospora crassa OR74A, 154 nucleotides. It matches the Rfam family "5.8S ribosomal RNA". Rfam says of the family: 5.8S ribosomal RNA (5.8S rRNA) is a component of the large subunit of the eukaryotic ribosome. NCBI's taxonomy places the organism in Eukaryota, Fungi, Ascomycota, Sordariomycetes, Sordariales, Sordariaceae. The record is from Rfam.
AAUUUUUAAUAACGGAUCUCUUAGUUUUAACAUUAAUAAAGAACGUAGUGAAAUACAAUAAGUAAUAUAAAUUAUAAAAUUUAGUAAAUUAUUGAAUCUUUAAACGUAUAUUACGUUUAUUAAUAUUCUAAUAAAUAUAUUUAUUCGAGCGUUA